ACGCUGGCGGCAUGCCUAACACAUGCAAGUCGAACGAAGCCUUCGGGCUUAGUGGCGCACGGGUGCGUAACACGUGGGAAUCUGCCCUUCGGUUCGGAAUAACAGUUAGAAGUGACUGCUAAUACCGGAUGAUGACGUAAGUCCAAAGAUUUAUCGCCGAAGGAUGAGCCCGCGUAGGAUUAGGUAGUUGGUAGGGUAAUGGCCUACCAAGCCGACGAUCCUUAGCUGGUCUGAGAGGAUGAUCAGCCACACUGGGACUGAGACACGGCCCAGACUCCUACGGGAGGCAGCAGUGGGGAAUAUUGGACAAUGGGCGAAAGCCUGAUCCAGCAAUGCCGCGUGAGUGAUGAAGGCCUUAGGGUUGUAAAGCUCUUUUACCAGGGAUGAUAAUGACAGUACCUGGAGAAUAAGCUCCGGCUAACUCCGUG
RNAcentral lists this ribosomal RNA (428 nucleotides) under uncultured bacterium. RNAcentral describes it as "bacterial SSU rRNA". It matches the Rfam family "Bacterial small subunit ribosomal RNA", at positions 33 to 507 of the family's 1533-position model. The record is from RNAcentral.